CCCGGGCCGUCGCCGGAGAACGGCUGGCCAGCGUCGUGGGGCGCGCUCCUCGGAAAAGUAGAGGAAGCGCACAGGUGGCUGAGCAUACAAACUGAAGAAAAAAUUGAAAUGCCAUUUUAAAAACUUGAAAGGUGGGUGUUGGGAACAUAUUGCAACCUAAAGUAAGCAGCAUGGAGAUACAAUCUCAGAGCUAGAACAAAUAAUGUCUGCAGAAAGGAGUUUCCUUAAGCUAAAUUUUUAUUUUAGUCAGACAUGACAGAACAUAAUCUGUAUUUGGGGUAACUACAUGAAAUUAUUUAAUAUCUAGAAUGGUUGAGCGCUGUGGCUCAUGCCUGUAAUCCCAGCAGUGAGCUGUGAUCGCACCACUGCACCCCAGCCUGGAUGACAGAGUGAGACCCUGUCUCAAAAAAAUAAAUAGGCCAGGCAUGGUGGCUCACGCCUGUAAUCCCAGCACUUCUGGGAGGCCAAGUUUGGUGGAUCAUUUGAGAUCAGGAGUUCCAGACCAGCCAACAUGGUGAAACCCCGUCUCUACUAAAAAUACAAAAAAAAUUAGCCGGGCAUGGUGGCAGGCACCUGUAGUCCCAGCUACUCAGGAGGCUGAGGCUGGAGAAUUGCUUGAACCCAGAAGGAGGAGGUUGCAGUGAGCCGUGAUCACACCACUGCACUCCAGCCUGGGUGACAGAGUGAGACUUUGUCUCAAAAAAUAUAAAGAAAUAAAUUAUAUAUAUAUAUAGAGAGAGAGAGAGAGAGAGAGAGAAUAGGGAAGAUUUUAGCCAUCUGGGAAAAUUUUGCUGUGUCAGAGUUACAAAACUAUAGGUAAAAUAUAGUAUAGUAGUAAUAAUAGCUUAGAUUUUGGAAUCAAACACACCUAGUCUCUUCCAUUUAUUAGCAGCAAGAUAUUGGGCAAGUUAUUUAACCUUUCUAAGUCUCCAUUUCCUCAUGUAAAAAUGAGCGUAAUAAUGGCACCAACUCCAUAGUUUAUGAGGUUAUAAAGGUGUACUUAUAUGAAGAGCUCAGAACAGUGCUUGGUGCAUGAUAAAACUUAAGAAAGAUUAUAUUAGAGUUCUCCAGAGAAACACAACCAAUAGGAGAUAGAUAUGGUUUUGCUUCUCUGGAGAACUCUAGAUAGAAUAGAUAGAUAGAUAGAUAGAUAGAUAGAUAGAUAGAUAGAUAAUAAAUAGAUAUGGAAAUAGAUAGACAGAAGUUUAUUAUGAGAGAUUGGGUUGAGAUUAUGAAGGCUGAGAAGUCCCACGAUCAUCUGCCAUCUGUAAGCUAAAGGCCGAGGAAAGCCAGUAGUGUAGGUCCAGUCCAAGCCCAAAGGCCUGAGAAACACAGGAGCCAACAGUGUAGUUCAGUUUAUGUCCAAAAGCCUGAGAACCAGGAGCAAUGAUAUCCGAGGGCAGGAGAUGAUGGAUGUCCCUGUUCAGAGUGAAUUCACCCUUCCUCCACCUUUUUGUUCUAUUUGGGCCCUCAGCAGAUGUGAUGACGCCGGGGUACGUGGGUGAGAAAAUCUUUACUCAAUGUACCAAUUCGAAUGCUGAUCUCUGCAGGAAACAUGCUCAAAUACACAUUGAGAAAUAAUGUUUCAAUAGCUCUAUCUGGGCACCUUUUAGCCCAGUCAAGCUGACACAUAAUAUUAAUCCAAGAAAUUUAGUAUAAUUCUGAAAAUGGAAACCAUUUGUUUCGUAUUAAAUAUACUACCUCUUCAUGUUUUUAAUGAAGAAUUGAAGCUGGCAUUUUAAGCUGAUAACUCAUUGAUGGUAGCAUAAACUGUGUGCAGGCCAUACAAUUAGCCUGACCAGUAUCUGCUAAUUAUACCAGAAGCUCUUCAGUGGAGACAAAAGAGAAAAGAAUUAAACUAAUUGUAUAUAAUGCCUCACUGCCCUACCUUGGGUAACAUCCAUCCUAUAAAGAGCAAUUCUUGUGUUAAAACAUUUAUUGACCACUUACUAUGUUCAAGGAGCUAUGUGGGGUGACGUAAAGGAUAAAUGAUGCCUGUAAUCAAAAGAAGAAAACAGUCGUAUUCACAAAUUCACAUGUUACAAGAAAAGUAUCAAGGAAGUUUCUUUUUUUAAUGUUAAAAUCAAAGGAAUAUGUCUGUAAGAAAGAAGCUUAGCUUGAAGUUAAAAGACCUGAAUUUUAACCCUAACUUUUCCACCAGAUAGCUAUGAACUUUAGAAAUUGGCUUAGCUUCUCUGUGCCUUAAGUUUCCCAUUGUUAAAUAUGAAUAAUGGUAACUGUUCAUCCUACCUCAUAGGAGUGUUGUGACUAUGAGCAUGAACUUAAUCAUAGACUCAAUUAUUUUUAAAGUUACUAGUACUGUUAGUCUGAGAAAUAAUAACUAGUAGUAAAGGGAUUUCAAUAUAGCAGCCACAUUGUUAACAAGAGUUACUUAGACAAAGGCACAGGAGCACCAGGCAGCAUCCACGUGUGGUAAGAUGGCAGUGCGGCAGUGCUCUUGUCCUGGGUUCAUUGCCCUCGCCUCCUAAAAUCGCUGUGAUCAUUAAAGAUUGCUAAAAUGAGAUGUUUCCUUCCCAACUUAUUUUUAACAUUGAAGAAACCACUGGGAAGAAAUGAAUAAUCUGCCAAGCUGCUUUUGUUUUGUAAAAAUAGUAUGUGCCAUGAAAUUCCAUCUCUCAGGCAAUUAUUUUGCCUAUUCUAUGUUCCUAUACCCUGGAAUAAUUUUGAUGGAUGAAGAACAUUGAACCAUACACAUAAUAACAACCCAAGUUAACUAGAGGGGCAUCUUUAAGCACUUGCAAGCUAACCUUAGCCUGAGACUAGAAAAUGGAACGAGAAUGUCACCCUUUAAGACCUAACAUAGUUCAAUUAGGAAAUCACAAAGUAGGCUGAACAAGAGGUAGCAAACACAGUAGGAGAAGUCCUGGCUCCACUGUAUUCUGGCUCCACCACGGACGUGGACUGUACCAGCAAACAAAUCACUCAUCUUCAAUUUCAUUGGGAACAUGUUAAGAGAUUUGUUAAAUAAAUGAUUUCAAUUGUCACCUCUUCCUCUAAAAUUAAAUGAUUCCCAAGAAUUUUUGGGACUUUCUCUGUCUCUGUGAGACCACAGUCUAGGUUUAAAUUAGGCUAAAAGAUGCAAAUGAAACUAUUACUCAUCAGUUUGGGAAUAGCACUGCUUUCUAAUUAUUCCACAGGUUCCAGGACUACCUCAAAUGUAUUACGUCUCUAAUCAGUCUUUCUCCUUAAAAAUGCCUAUUAUUUCUUGGUGGACUGCAAAGAUUUCUGUUUUAUAUCUGCGCAUCUUGGGAAACAUUUUAUUUUCCUCAUAGAUUUAUUUGGCAUUUUUAUCUUUAUAUGAUUGAGUCAAAUCUCAAUACAAAGAACACCCCUUUCAUGCUUAUUUAUUACAACAUGAGCAUGCAGCCUCCAACCCCUGAUUCCUAGGUACAGAAAAAUAAAGUUCAAGCUUUUUCAUGCUUUUGCA
This is a long non-coding RNA of Homo sapiens (human), 3448 nucleotides long. RefSeq lists it as uncharacterized. The transcript has 2 exons. Lineage: Eukaryota; Metazoa; Chordata; Mammalia; Primates; Hominidae. The record is from RefSeq and is a predicted model, not a curated record.